This 445-nucleotide ribosomal RNA is filed under the name uncultured bacterium. Its description in RNAcentral is "partial 16S ribosomal RNA". It matches the Rfam family "Bacterial small subunit ribosomal RNA", at positions 354 to 796 of the family's 1533-position model. The record is from RNAcentral.
GUGAGGAAUAUUGGUCAAUGGACGAGAGUCUGAACCAGCCAAGUCGCGUGAAGGAAGACGGUUCUAUGAAUUGUAAACUUCUUUUGUGCAGGAAUAAAGUGGGUUACGUGUAACCUUUUGUAUGUACUGUACGAAUAAGGAUCGGCUAACUCCGUGCCAGCAGCCGCGGUAAUACGGAGGAUCCGAGCGUUAUCCGGAUUUAUUGGGUUUAAAGGGUGCGUAGGUGGAUUGAUAAGUCAGCGGUGAAAGUUUGCAGCUUAACUGUAAAAUUGCCGUUGAAACUGUCGGUCUUGAGUGCAAAUGAGGUAGGCUGAAUGUGUUGUGUAGCGGUGAAAUGCUUAGAUAUAACACAGAACUCCGAUUGCGAAGGCAGCUUACUGGGAUGCAACUGACACUGAUGCACGAAAGCGUGGGUAUCAAACAGGAUUAGAAACCCGUGUAGUCC